GUACUGUUGUUGCGACAAGGUCGGCGAUGGCAGGCGUCGAACUCCUCACAGAAGAUUCCCGUCAAGCCGUCCUCACACUCGCAGAAGAAGGUGCUCUGCAGGCUCGGCUAAUCAGAAGUGUAAGAAGAUUUUAAAAAUAACAGUUUUUAUCUGCUGUGCAGCAUUUGUUGCAUCAGUUACUGUAUGUGCAGAACUCUACACGUCUGUUUUAACCUUGAGGUGCAAAAAACGAAUCAACAGCCUCCAACAUUUUGAGACCGUGAGGCCUGACAGCUUCACCAUCCUGUCUGUUCCGAGCCAAUGAACUGUCCUGCAGUGACGACAGCGGUGAUUGUCAUUCCCUUUGUAAUGCAUGGGCUCUGGCUGCAACAGAGGUAACAGACAUGAAGGUCAGCAGCCAGACGGGGAGGUGUGCGAGUGCAGCUUCAGGGGCAGCAACAUGUCUGACAACACCAGUCCAUCGGAAGCCUGCAGGAACCACAUGGUGGUGCCGUUCAGGAUUGAUGAACGGAGAAAUCCAUCUUCACUCACUCGCCACAGCACUGGAGCUCCACUGGCAUUCACCACCACCCUGUUAGGGUGGAACAGACAGGAAAGCCUGAAUACUCUCUAUGCUGGUGCUUACGCUCUUAUUAUUGUAUGUCUAGUGUUAAAGGUAAGGUUUGAAAUAAACCUCAGAACCAUUGUUAUAAUCUGUAACCCUUGUUAUAAUCCAACAAACAUUUGAGAAUUGUGAAUAGACAUGGAUUUGAGGUCUUAUUUCCCAAUAAUCUGACAUCUCGCUUCUGAUUGGGUUAACAGCAACACUACGCUACCAUUUUGCUUUGGAAUGUUGAUGUUUUAUCUCCACAAAUAACUCAAGCCUGAAGGAGUUCUGCCAUGUUGCUCAUAGCUACUAGUUGACACAUGCGCUGCUGUCUCCUGGAUGCUAACUUAGCAACAGCCUUCCCCCUCAUGAGCAAAGAUGGGUGAGUCCAUGAUUGCUAAUUUACAAUGUGACAUAGAUCUGAAUGACUUUUCCCCAUCUACUUUCUAUCAGUGGCAAAUGCAGGAAACAGGUAAAAGUUUAUUUUCAUGUUCAGUCUGCAUGUUAGACUCAGAAUGACGAUCAUAUUAAAAGAAAUACAACUAAAAAUCUGUUUCUCAGUAAACUUGGUCUUUAAGAAAUUCUGUUAAAAAUAUCAGAUUAGUUUUGUUAAAGGGAGACUAGGCAGUUUUGGUUUGUUUUUAGCACCCCCUAGUGUUCAUUUGCAGAACCAAAAGCUACAUCUAUCUCCUCGCUGUGCGUUUAUCUUUUUAACACCUUACUCUAACAGCUGAAACGUCUCCCCAGCCUUCAUUAGUGUCUACAGGAGUGAUUCAUCACUAAAUUAAACAAAUCAGCUGUGCUCAUGAUCUAAAACAUGCAAGGAACGUGCUGGAAGCAGAAUAAAGCACCGGGGAUGUCAGCUCAAUUUUUUUCUAAGUGCAACAGACCUGACUGGCACUCAGAAGUUGCAAAUGCGGUAUUCUGGCCACAUAGGGCGAUGGGUGUUUUAGCAACAUUUCAUUAACCCUUUAAAGGGUCAUUUUAGCACAUGCUGACUCAAGAAAAUUAUUAUUAAAGAAUUGUAUAGUAUCCCAUUACUGUUCAGGGUCAGGGGGAGAAUAUCCCUGGAAGAGAGAUAUUAAUACAUAUUUAUUAUACUUUUAGGGAGGUUGAACUGGGUGCAGGUUCUUUCUAUUUUCAUGUUCAGGUCAGGUUUCGAGAUCCUUUCUUUUGUUUUAAAGAAUGUUUUAUUUGUUGCCUUAGUUUGGUUUUUCCUGAGGCUAUUGCUAAAUGCUUUUCUGUUUUUGAAAAUGUCAGAAAAUUAUCUGCUAAAAAUAUAACUUUGUCUCCUUGCAUCCAUAUUAUAGACAUUUGCUCUCCAGUCAGGGUUCAGUAUCUUACAGGACUCAUCAUGAGGAGAGAACCCCAGACCAAACAUCCGUCUAAACCUUCCCAAAUACUUGGGAAAAAUGAAGAAAAUAUGAGAGGGAAGUGGAUUUGAGCUGGAUCACUUCAUUGAAAGCCUUCGUGGUAGACAGAUGGUGCAAAGUGGAAUCUGUCAGCUGUAAUGGUUAGAUGACACAGAGAGCCCCUCUAACCCAACUUCCACUCUGAAUUAAUCUUUCUCACAUUGACUAAAACAAAUAAAACAUCCUGUUAUUAUCCUCUCAAACCUUGCUGUUGUGCAUUUGGUCUAAUGAGUGUUUACAGCCUACAAGGGCUGAGAUGAAUAGUUUUAUUACCUCGACUGAAUGUGAAUGAAUGAAUGAAUGAAUGAAAGUCACACCACUGAAAUUGCUUUAUCGGGAAAAAUAAGGUUAUAAGAGACUUCUGUGACUUGACAGAAUCAGAUUGCUCAUGUGAGAAAGUUGAAAGGAGGAAAUAUUUCUAACAUAAGAAAGAAGGGAUUCCCUGAGAGACGGUUUAUUUUUCAGGUAGCUCUGAGGAGAGAAGGUGUGUUGGAGCACGUCACAGAUGGAUCCAUGCAGACGUCCCAAAGUGCUGCGGGUGUCUGUGCUCAGCUGGAGGGGCAACACGCAACAUGAGGAGCUCAGAUAUCUGGAGAGCUACAGAUGCUUCACCUCUAAAGGAGCCGUGUCAUAUUAGCAGUGUUGGGAAAGUUACUUUUAAAAAAGUAAUUAGUUAUAGUUACUAAUUACUCUGUCAAAAAAGUUACUCAGUUACUUACAGAGUUACGAGAUUAUGAAAGUAACUAAUUACCAAAAAAAACUACUUAGUUACCUUUUUCACUAAAUGCAAGAAAAAUGGGUUAAUUAAACUUACUUCAUUUACUAUAAAUUACUACAAUAGUGAAAUAUAAAUGACUAAUGACAGGAACAUAAUAAAAUGUAAGUCCAAAUGUUUUUACAAACCUGAAUAAUUUAAAUAAAUAAGCACUUAACAGGAGGACCUACUAACAGGAACAUUACACUUAUCUAGACUAUUAAAAGGUCACUGUGUGAUAAUUAACAAGAGCCCAAUCAGAUCAAAUUUAUAAUUGCAAAUAGUAACACCUGUAAAGGUUCCCGAGCCUUUAAAUGGUCUCUCAGUCUAGUUAAAUUACAGAAAUGAAUGCAAUUUUGCACAGCAUUUUAAUUUUUCCAGCUUCACAUUGUUGUGUGCUUUUAGUAGUAUUUAUGUUGCUGGUAAUCUAGUAAAGGUUAAAUAAAUAAAUAAAAAUCCUUUAAAAUGACACUAGAAGAGGCACAAAUCUGAUGGACGACUUAAAUGUACUAACUUGGUUCAGAGUGCGUCUGUCAGAGGUCAGACGUGUUCCAGCGGAACCACACAGGUAGUUCUAAUAACACCUGAGCUCCAUGUCGUCUGAGACUGAUGAAUCAGUGUUACAGCGGGACUAAAGACAUGAUCAGAAACAGGUUACAGCUGGAUGAUCUAGGAAGGUAGAAGAUCAGGACGUCUGAGUGGUGAACAGGUGAGCGAACCUUCAGGAUGUACCGCUGUCACGCUAAGAAGGGCGUAGACUAUUCAUCACGUCUUCCUCGUUCUUCACAGGCCGUGAUGCGUUUGGAUGAAAACAUCUGCCUCUUUAGCUCCUGAUCAGCUGAUGACAGCUUCAACACACUGCGCUGCUUAACACAUGCUUUUUCUUAUCAGUAACAGAAACAACAUUUUCAUAAAUGAAGACGCAGGCAGUGACUGAGACAGUGAGAACACCGAGGGUCUCCGCCCACCCGGCCAAUCAUCAUCGUGUUUGUAAGAGCGUUACCGACACCUCUCUCUCCCUGGCUGCAGCUGAAGUGUGGCAGUCAGACAGCCUCACACUGCUGCUCAACGUUCUACAAGCACAUAGUAACGCACGACCUUCCAUCCCCAGUAACGGUAACGGCGUUGCAAGAGUGGGAAAAGUAAUUAAUUAGAUUAUUCCGUUACCUAAAAAAGAACGCCGUUAGUAACGCUGUUAUUUUCAACAGCAUUAUUCCCAUCACUGCAUAUUAGUAGGGCUCUUCUUGGUCCUUGACUAUUGAUCUGUCUGGAUGACAGCUACUGUUAGAUAAAUACUGAUAUUAUUAUUAUUGAACUAAUAUUAAUGUCUUGACUGCUCCUUAUUAAAAACGCAGCUUCAUCCUGUUGACAGAUACCAGGCUCCACCACUUCCUACUGGGAGGAAUGACCUUGCCUCAGAACCGACUUUUAUCAGUAAAACUCCCUUGAGAAAGUCUAGCAAUUGCUUUUGUUGAUUUAGGGUGCACCUGGAGCUUUAGAAGUUUAGACUCCCUUCAGAGCUUUCCCGCCUGAGAGUCUAAGGAAUGACAAAUGUGUGUGCUUAAUAAAUACUGUCAGAGGACUCCCGGUCCGAGGAGAGUGAACUGCAACCUUGUCUGGUGUAUAUUCUUCCUCUCCACUUUGCAAAGUCUAAAUUGAUUGUUUAUUAUUGGUAUUGGUGUUGAUUGAUUGAUUACUAUAACCCCCUGUGCUUUAAACUUUCCCUAAGGUAAUCUUGGAUUGAUAAAAUUACCCAACAGCUACCUUAUCUGUCACUCACAUUUUCAGCAGCCGUGUUUAAGAGUUUUAUCAUAAAAAUCAUUUAUGAAGGAAACAUCUCUCCGGGUCUCCAUCACAGCCUCCGUCUCUGGGUGCGUUCAGGUCCUGUGUGCAAUUACACAAUGUGAAAACAAAGCAGCAGAGGCUGAUUAGCACGCUGCUCGUAGCUCUUUGUCUGAGAUUGUCACCGCUGCCCUUCAUCGUGCCUCUCAUCUAUAAUGAGUAUAACUUCAAGGAUGUCCAGCGUUCACCUUCAGCAUUUCUUUUACAUAAUUCAUUGACCCUUGUUUAUUUGGCAUUUAUGAUACUGUUUCUGGGUGAUUGUGCUGUUAAAGUCAAAAUGAUAUGCACAAAUAAAGCAAGAGUGGAUGGUAAAGUUUCAUGAUAAAC
Molecule: non-coding RNA, 4921 nt
Organism: Nothobranchius furzeri (turquoise killifish)
Lineage: Eukaryota; Metazoa; Chordata; Actinopteri; Cyprinodontiformes; Nothobranchiidae
Source: RefSeq, a predicted model, not a curated record